CGUAGGGGGCAAGCGUUGUCCGGAUUUACUGGGCGUAAAGAGCGCGUAGGCGGAUGCUUAAGUGUGGCCUGAAAGCCCCCGGCUCAACCGGGGAUCCGGGUUGCAAACUGGGCAUCUUGAGGGGGAUAGAGGAAGGUGGAAUUCCUGGUGUAGCGGUGAAAUGCGUAGAGAUCAGGAGGAACACCCGUGGCGAAGGCGGCCUUCUGGGUCCGCCCUGACGCUGAGGCGCGAAAGCGUGGGGAGCGAACGGGAUUAGAUACCCCGGUAGUCCACGCCGUAAACGAUGAUCACUAGGUGUGUGCGGUAUCGACCCCGCACGUGCCGCAGCUAACGCAAUAAGUGAUCCGCCUGGGGAGUACGGCCGCAAGGUUG
RNAcentral lists this ribosomal RNA (372 nucleotides) under uncultured organism. RNAcentral's name for it is "bacterial SSU rRNA". It matches the Rfam family "Bacterial small subunit ribosomal RNA", at positions 526 to 896 of the family's 1533-position model. The record is from RNAcentral.